AACGAACGCUGGCGGCAUGCCUAACACAUGCAAGUCGAACGAGACCUUCGGGUCUAGUGGCGCACGGGUGCGUAACGCGUGGGAACCUGCCCUUAGGUUCGGAAUAACUCCCCGAAAGGGGUGCUAAUACCGGAUAAUGUCUUCGGACCAAAGAUUUAUCGCCUUUGGAUGGGCCCGCGUUGGAUUAGCUAGUUGGUAGGGUAAAAGCCUACCAAGGCGACGAUCCAUAGCUGGUCUGAGAGGAUGAUCAGCCACACUGGGACUGAGACACGGCCCAGACUCCUACGGGAGGCAGCAGUGGGGAAUAUUGGACAAUGGGCGAAAGCCUGAUCCGGCAAUGCCGCGUGAGGGAUGAAGGCCUGAGGGUUGUAAAGCUCUUUUACCCGGGAUGAUAAUGACAGUACCGGGAGAAUAAGCUCCGGCUAACGCCG
Molecule: ribosomal RNA, 431 nt
Filed under: uncultured bacterium
Lineage: Bacteria
Description: partial 16S ribosomal RNA
Rfam family: Bacterial small subunit ribosomal RNA
Source: RNAcentral